UACGGGGGGGGCAAGCGUUGUUCGGAAUUACUGGGCGUAAAGGGUUCGUAGGUGGCCAACUAAGUCAUACGUGAAAUCCCUCGGCUUAACCGGGAAACUGCGUCUGAUACUGGAUGGCUUGAGUUCGGGAGAGGGAUGCGGAAUUCCAGGUGUAGCGGUGAAAUGCGUAGAUAUCUGGAGGAACACCGGUGGCGAAGGCGGCAUCCUGGACCGAUACUGACGCUGAGGAGCGAAAGCCAGGGGAGCAAACGGG
This 253-nucleotide ribosomal RNA is filed under the name uncultured bacterium. Its description in RNAcentral is "partial 16S ribosomal RNA". It matches the Rfam family "Bacterial small subunit ribosomal RNA", at positions 524 to 776 of the family's 1533-position model. The record is from RNAcentral.